This 366-nucleotide ribosomal RNA is filed under the name Triticum aestivum (bread wheat). Its description in RNAcentral is "partial small subunit ribosomal RNA". The record is from RNAcentral. Lineage: Eukaryota; Viridiplantae; Streptophyta; Magnoliopsida; Poales; Poaceae.
AUGCAGGUGCGAUUCAUUCCGGUGAAGCGCAUGAAAUCCUACAUGGGGUUCGAUCCGCUUAGAGCAGGCGACACGGCGCCCUCCGAGCCUUCCGCUCAGACGCGGCAGCUCCUCACCACCAUGGGGGAGCAGACAGCCAAUCUCACCGCGCUCAUCGAGACGCUGCUCUCCCGCUUCGACGAAGAGAAGGUGCUUGCCCACAAGUGCGCAGAGGUGCAGACGGCCUUCAACAACCAGGUGUCCCAGGAGCUACAGAGCCUGACCAAGCAGUUUGGACUCACCCAGGCGGAUGUGGAUAACGUACGCAAGGUCACGUCCCCAUCGGCGUCGUCGGCUCCGUCAUCCAGGUCACAAGUGGAUGAUUGA